Molecule: ribosomal RNA, 465 nt
Filed under: Vreelandella stevensii
Lineage: Bacteria; Pseudomonadati; Pseudomonadota; Gammaproteobacteria; Oceanospirillales; Halomonadaceae
Description: partial 16S ribosomal RNA
Rfam family: Bacterial small subunit ribosomal RNA
Source: RNAcentral
CCUACGGGGGGCAGCAGUGGGGAAUAUUGGACAAUGGGCGAAAGCCUGAUCCAGCCAUGCCGCGUGUGUGAAGAAGGCCUUCGGGUUGUAAAGCACUUUCAGUGGGGAAGAAAGCCUUGGGGCUAAUACCCUCGAGGAAGGACAUCACCCACAGAAGAAGCACCGGCUAACUCCGUGCCAGCAGCCGCGGUAAUACGGAGGGUGCGAGCGUUAAUCGGAAUUACUGGGCGUAAAGCGCGCGUAGGCGGUCUGAUAAGCCGGUUGUGAAAGCCCCGGGCUCAACCUGGGAACGGCAUCCGGAACUGUCAGGCUAGAGUGCAGGAGAGGAAGGUAGAAUUCCCGGUGUAGCGGUGAAAUGCGUAGAGAUCGGGAGGAAUACCAGUGGCGAAGGCGGCCUUCUGGACCGACACUGACGCUGAGGUGCGAAAGCGUGGGUAGCAAACAGGAUUAGAUACCCGAGUAGUC